This 743-nucleotide ribosomal RNA is filed under the name uncultured bacterium. RNAcentral describes it as "bacterial SSU rRNA". It matches the Rfam family "Bacterial small subunit ribosomal RNA", at positions 57 to 854 of the family's 1533-position model. The record is from RNAcentral.
GCAGUCGACGGGUGCCUUCGGGUGCUAGUGGCGGACGGGUGAGUAACGCGUGGGAACAUACCCUUUGGUACGGAAUAGCCUCGGGAAACUGAGAGUAAUACCGUAUGUGCCCUUCGGGGGAAAGAUUUAUCGCCAAAGGAUUGGCCCGCGUUGGAUUAGGUAGUUGGUGGGGUAAUGGCCUACCAAGCCGACGAUCCAUAGCUGGUUUGAGAGGAUGAUCAGCCACACUGGGACUGAGACACGGCCCAGACUCCUACGGGAGGCAGCAGUGGGGAAUCUUAGACAAUGGGGGAAACCCUGAUCUAGCCAUGCCGCGUGAUCGAUGAAGGCCUUAGGGUUGUAAAGAUCUUUCAGAUGGGAAGAUAAUGACGGUACCAUCAGAAGAAGCCCCGGCUAACUCCGUGCCAGCAGCCGCGGUAAUACGGAGGGGGCUAGCGUUAUUCGGAAUUACUGGGCGUAAAGCGCACGUAGGCGGAUUAGAAAGUCAGAGGUGAAAUCCCAGGGCUCAACCUUGGAACUGCCUUUGAAACUCCUAGUCUUGAGGUCGAGAGAGGUGAGUGGAAUUCCGAGUGUAGAGGUGAAAUUCGUAGAUAUUCGGAGGAACACCAGUGGCGAAGGCGGCUCACUGGCUCGAUACUGACGCUGAGGUGCGAAAGCGUGGGGAGCAACAGGAUUGAUACCCUGGUAUCCACGCCGUAACGAUGAUGCCAGUCGUCGGUAGCAUGCUAUCGGUGACACACUAA